CUUUAUUGGAGAGUUUGAUCCUGGCUCAGGACGAACGCUGGCGGCAUGCCUAAUACAUGCAAGUCGAGCGGAGUUGAUAGGAAGCUUGCUUCCUUGAUACUUAGCGGCGGACGGGUGAGUAACACGUAGGCAACCUGCCCUCAAGUUUGGGACAACUACCGGAAACGGUAGCUAAUACCGAAUAAUUGUUUUCUUCGCCUGAAGGAAACUGGAAAGACGGAGCAAUCUGUCACUUGGGGAUGGGCCUGCGGCGCAUUAGCU
RNAcentral lists this ribosomal RNA (261 nucleotides) under Paenibacillus sp. MYb67. RNAcentral's name for it is "partial 16S ribosomal RNA". It matches the Rfam family "Bacterial small subunit ribosomal RNA", at positions 1 to 246 of the family's 1533-position model. The record is from RNAcentral. Lineage: Bacteria; Bacillati; Bacillota; Bacilli; Caryophanales; Paenibacillaceae.